This 65-nucleotide transfer RNA is filed under the name Gymnochthebius lividus. RNAcentral's name for it is "tRNA-Gly". Lineage: Eukaryota; Metazoa; Arthropoda; Insecta; Coleoptera; Hydraenidae. The record is from RNAcentral.
AUUUAUAUAGUAUAAAAAUUAUAUUUAACUUCCAAUUAAAAGAUCUAAUUAUAUUAGUAUAAAUA